AUGAUUUGCUGUUUGCUGAGACUCCCACCCAGCAGUAAUCAGCCACGAGAAGAGGAAUGCUGCACAUGCCCAGCUUGACAGAAAAACCAGGAAUGCAGGAAUCUUACCGGUUUGGCAAAAAGAGCUUACUUGGGUUUUCCACCAUUCAAGCCAUACAUAGAAGCUUCCACAAGGAAGGAUGACACAAAAGAACACUGCAAGAACAAACAGCAAAAUUCUUG
Long non-coding RNA from Choloepus didactylus (southern two-toed sloth), 221 nucleotides. RefSeq lists it as uncharacterized. The transcript has 3 exons. The record is from RefSeq and is a predicted model, not a curated record. NCBI's taxonomy places the organism in Eukaryota, Metazoa, Chordata, Mammalia, Pilosa, Megalonychidae.